CCUACGGGUGGCAGCAGUGGGGAAUAUUGCGCAAUGGGCGAAAGCCUGACGCAGCGACGCCGCGUGAGGGAUGAAGGUCUUCGGAUCGUAAACCUCUGUCAGCAGGGAAGAACGGUCACUGUGCUAAUCAGCAGUGAAUUGACGGUACCUGCAAAGGAAGCACCGGCUAACUCCGUGCCAGCAGCCGCGGUAAUACGGAGGGUGCGAGCGUUAAUCGGAAUUACUGGGCGUAAAGCGCUCGUAGGCGGUAUGUCAAGUCAAGGGUGAAAUCCCCGCGCUCAACGUGGGAACUGCCGUUGAAACUGGCGUUCUUGAGUGGGCGAGAAGUAUGCGGAAUGCGUGGUGUAGCGGUGAAAUGCAUAGAUAUCACGCAGAACUCCGAUUGCGAAGGCAGCAUACCGGCGCCCUACUGACGCUGAGGCACGAAAGCGUGGGUAUCGAACAGGAUUAGAUACCCGAGUAGUC
RNAcentral lists this ribosomal RNA (465 nucleotides) under uncultured bacterium. RNAcentral describes it as "partial 16S ribosomal RNA". It matches the Rfam family "Bacterial small subunit ribosomal RNA", at positions 338 to 795 of the family's 1533-position model. The record is from RNAcentral.